Molecule: ribosomal RNA, 403 nt
Filed under: uncultured bacterium
Lineage: Bacteria
Description: partial 16S ribosomal RNA
Rfam family: Bacterial small subunit ribosomal RNA
Source: RNAcentral
GACGAACGCUGGCGGCAGGCCUAACACAUGCAAGUCGAGCGAGCGGCGGAAGGGUGAGUAAUGUAUGGGGACUGCCCGAUAGAGGGGGAUAACUACUGGAAACGGUGGCUAAUACCGCAUACUAUCGGAUAACCCAUAUGGGAUUAGAUAGUAGUUGGGGUAAAGGCUCACCUAGGCGACGAUCUCUAGCUGGUCUGAGAGGAUGAUAAGCCACACUGAGACUGAGACACGGCCCAGACUCCUGCGGAGGCAGCAGUGGGGAAUAUUGCCCAAUGGGCGCAAGCCUGAUGCAGCCAUGCCGCGUGUAUGAAGAAAGCCUUAGGGUUGUAAAGUACUUUCAUCGAGGAGUCGUUACCCGCAGAAGAAGCCCCGGCUAACUCCGUGCCAGCCACCGCGGUAAUUC